This 328-nucleotide small nuclear RNA is filed under the name Vulpes vulpes (red fox). RNAcentral's name for it is "7SK RNA (ENSVVUG00000021379.1)". It matches the Rfam family "7SK RNA". Rfam says of the family: 7SK was discovered as an abundant small nuclear RNA in the mid-70s but a possible function has only recently been suggested. Two independent studies have found that 7SK RNA binds the CDK9/cyclin T complex (known as elongation factor P-TEFb). The record is from Rfam by way of RNAcentral. Lineage: Eukaryota; Metazoa; Chordata; Mammalia; Carnivora; Canidae.
GGAUGUGAAGGUGAUCUGGCUGCGACAUGGGUCACCCCAUUGGUUGCCAGGGUUGCUCUGACUGAUGUGGCCGCCUAGAUGGGUGUCCCCUUCCUCCCGCACCGCUCCGUGUGUGUCCAUCCCAAAGCUGCACGCUCUGUCAGGGGCGGCGGCCUUCCCCGAGAGAGGAGGACCAUUCUCUGGCCGAGGGUAUAGAGUAGCUGCACCCCCUGCUAGAAGCUGCGGACAAGCUCCUGAGGCCCACUUGUAGGAGAAUGUAGGGAGCCAACCUUCCGGGGCUCCAGACACAUCCAAAUGAGGUGCUGUCUGUGGCAGUCUGCCCUUAUUA